This 1384-nucleotide ribosomal RNA is filed under the name metagenome. RNAcentral describes it as "bacterial LSU rRNA". It matches the Rfam family "Bacterial large subunit ribosomal RNA", at positions 1461 to 2925 of the family's 2925-position model. The record is from RNAcentral.
UAAGCAUACUGACACAUGAGAGUAGCUCUACCGGGCGUUGGUUGCCCCGGGCGUAAGCGAGCCGAAUGAGGCGAAGUGAGUAAAUCUUGUGGCGAGAAAAGGUGUGUGUAUUGGUUGGGCUGCCCGUACCGCAAACCGACACAGGUAGAUGAGGAGAAGAUCCUAAGGCCAUCGGGAGAAGGGUUGUUAAGGAACUAGGCAAAUUGACCCCGUAACUUCGGGAGAAGGGGUGCCUACGAGAGUAGGCCGCAGAGAAUCGGCCCAAGCAACUGUUUACCAAAAACACAGGUCUCUGCUAAAUCGAAAGAUGACGUAUAGGGGCUGACGCCUGCCCGGUGCUGGAAGGUUAAGAGGAGGACUUAUCGGAAACGCGAAGGCCCGAAUUGAAGCCCCAGUAAACGGCGGCCGUAACAAUAACGGUCCUAAGGUAGCGAAAUUCCUUGUCAGGUAAGUUCUGACCCGCACGAAAGGCGUAAUGAUUUGGGCACUGUCUCAACAGCCCGCCCGGCGAAAUUGUAGUACCGGUGAAGAUGCCGGUUACCCGCAACUAGACGGAAAGACCCCAUGGAGCUUUACUGCAGCUUAAUACUGAGAUUCGGUAAAUCAUGUACAGGAUAGGUGGGAGACUAAGAAGCCAGGCCGUCAGGUUUGGUGGAGCCACCCCUGGGAUACCACCCUUGGUUUGCUGGUUUUCUAACCUGCGGCCCUGAAUCGGGUCGGGGGACACUGUUAGGCGGGCAGUUUGACUGGGGCGGUCGCCUCCUAAAAUGUAACGGAGGCGCUCAAAGGUUGGCUCAGCAUGGAUGGAAACCAUGCAAUGAGUGUAAACGUAUAAGCCAGCCUGACUGCGAGACCGACGGGUCGAGCAGAGACGAAAGUCGGAGUUAGUGAUCCGGUGGUAUGUGAGUGGAAAUGCCAUCGCUCAACGGAUAAAAGCUACCCUGGGGAUAACAGGCUGAUCUCCCCCAAGCGUCCACAGCGACGGGGAGGUUUGGCACCUCGAUGUCGGCUCGUCGCAUCCUGGGGCUGAAUUAGGUCCCAAGGGUUUGGCUGUUCGCCAAUUAAAGCGGCACGCGAGCUGGGUUCAGAACGUCGUGAGACAGUUCGGUCCCUAUCUGUUGCGGGCGUAGGAGAUUUGAAGGGAGCUGACCUUAGUACGAGAGGACCGGGUUGGACGUACCUCUGGUGUACCAGUUGUUCUGCCAAGGGCAUGGCUGGGUAGCUACGUACGGACGAGAUAAACGCUGAAGGCAUCUAAGCGUGAAACUCUCCCUGAGAUAAGAUCUCCACUGAGGCUCGACGUAGACUAUGUCGUUGAUAGGUCAGAGGAGAAAGUGCAGCAAUGCAUGCAGCUGACUGAUACUAAUAAGCCGAAAGCUUGAUC